UGCAAGUCGAGGGGUAACAGAAAAGCUUGCUUUUGCUGACGACCGGCGCACGGGUGCGUAACGCGUAUGCAACCUACCUCAUACUGGAGGAUAGCCCCUGGAAACGGGGAUUAAUACUCCAUAGUAUCACAAUUUCGCAUGUUAUUGUGAUUAAAGUUUUUCGGUAUGAGAUGGGCAUGCGUCCCAUUAGCUUGUUGGUGAGGUAACGGCUCACCAAGGCAACGAUGGGUAGGGGGCCUGAGAGGGUGGUCCCCCACACUGGUACUGAGACACGGACCAGACUCCUACGGGAGGCAGCAGUGAGGAAUAUUGGUCAAUGGAGGAAACUCUGAACCAGCCAUGCCGCGUGAAGGAUGACGGCCCUAUGGGUUGUAAACUUCUUUUAUAGAGGAAGAAACUUGUCUACGUGUAGACAACUGACGGUACUCUACGAAUAAGGAUCGGCUAACUCCGUGCCAGCAGCCGCGGUAAUACGGAGGAUCCAGGCGUUAUCCGGAUUCAUUGGGUUUAAAGGGUCCGUAGGCGGAUUUUUAAGUCAGUGGUGAAAGCCGACAGCCCAACUGUCGAACUGCCAUUGAUACUGGAAAUCUUGAGUACAAAUGAAGUAGGCGGAAUGAGUCAUGUAGCGGUGAAAUGCAUAGAUAUGACUCAGAACACCGAUUGGGAAGGCAGCUUACUAACAUGUAACUGACGCUGAGGGACGAAAGCGUGGGGAGCGAACAGGAUUAGAUACCCUGGUAGUCCACGCCGUAAAC
RNAcentral lists this ribosomal RNA (755 nucleotides) under uncultured marine bacterium. RNAcentral describes it as "bacterial SSU rRNA". It matches the Rfam family "Bacterial small subunit ribosomal RNA", at positions 56 to 807 of the family's 1533-position model. The record is from RNAcentral.